Molecule: ribosomal RNA, 253 nt
Filed under: uncultured bacterium
Lineage: Bacteria
Description: partial 16S ribosomal RNA
Rfam family: Bacterial small subunit ribosomal RNA
Source: RNAcentral
UACGGAGGGGACUAGCGUUGUUCGGAAUUACUGGGCGUAAAGCGCACGUAGGCGGCUUUGUAAGUCAGGGGUGAAAUCCCGGGGCUCAACCUCGGAACUGCCUUUGAUACUGCAUAUCUCGAGUCCGGAAGAGGUGAGUGGAAUUCCUAGUGUAGAGGUGAAAUUCGUAGAUAUUAGGAAGAACACCAGUGGCGAAGGCGGCUCACUGGACCGGUACUGACGCUGAGGUGCGAAAGCGUGGGGAGCAAACAGG